This 474-nucleotide ribosomal RNA is filed under the name Triticum aestivum (bread wheat). Its description in RNAcentral is "partial small subunit ribosomal RNA". The record is from RNAcentral. Lineage: Eukaryota; Viridiplantae; Streptophyta; Magnoliopsida; Poales; Poaceae.
AUGGUUGCUACUUCAUCCAGUCGUGAUGGUUUGCGUCGUCCUGGCCGGCCUCGUGGCUCGCGUGGUCUUACGGUUGUUCGUCAUGGUGGUUCGGGUCGGCGUGGUGCUUCUAUUGAUUCGUCGGAUAGGCUUGCGUUUGCUCAUCGCCGUCCGUCUUGUCGGCUUGGUCGUCGUGCGCGUGGGUCGCCUUCUUCAUCUGCUUGCCCGUGUCGUCUUCUGUUUCAGUGGAUAUUGAUAUGCUAUCUGGUAGUCGUGCCUCCGUUGCCUCUCGCAGGGAGGAGAUUCGUUUGGGCAAGCGCCAUGUUGAUUGUUCUCUUGGUUUGUGUUUUUGGCACGAUGAACUUUCAUUUUUUUCCUGUUGUUUACCGUUGUUUAAUUAUGUGGUUCACUUUGCAUACACAGAUGUAUCUUUCUGUGGGUCAGAGAUGUGUGGGCCUGAUGUUGUUGCUGUUGCUGCCUCUUUGCUUUCUAUAG